This 765-nucleotide ribosomal RNA is filed under the name uncultured Streptococcus sp. RNAcentral describes it as "bacterial SSU rRNA". It matches the Rfam family "Bacterial small subunit ribosomal RNA", at positions 28 to 776 of the family's 1533-position model. The record is from RNAcentral. Lineage: Bacteria; Bacillati; Bacillota; Bacilli; Lactobacillales; Streptococcaceae.
GACGAACGCGGGCGGCGUGCCUAAUACAUGCAAGUAGAACGCUGAAGAGAGGAGCUUGCUCUUCUUGGAUGAGUUGCGAACGGGUGAGUAACGCGUAGGUAACCUGCCUUGUAGCGGGGGAUAACUAUUGGAAACGAUAGCUAAUACCGCAUAACAAUGGAUGACUCAUGUCAUUUAUUUGAAAGGGGCAAAUGCUCCACUACAAGAUGGACCUGCGUUGUAUUAGCUAGUAGGUGAGGUAACGGCUCACCUAGGCGACGAUACAUAGCCGACCUGAGAGGGUGAUCGGCCACACUGGGACUGAGACACGGCCCAGACUCCUACGGGAGGCAGCAGUAGGGAAUCUUCGGCAAUGGGGGCAACCCUGACCGAGCAACGCCGCGUGAGUGAAGAAGGUUUUCGGAUCGUAAAGCUCUGUUGUAAGUCAAGAACGAGUGUGAGAGUGGAAAGUUCACACUGUGACGGUAGCUUACCAGAAAGGGACGGCUAACUACGUGCCAGCAGCCGCGGUAAUACGUAGGUCCCGAGCGUUGUCCGGAUUUAUUGGGCGUAAAGCGAGCGCAGGCGGUUUGAUAAGUCUGAAGUUAAAGGCUGUGGCUCAACCAUAGUUCGCUUUGGAAACUGUCAAACUUGAGUGCAGAAGGGGAGAGUGGAAUUCCAUGUGUAGCGGUGAAAUGCGUAGAUAUAUGGAGGAACACCGGUGGCGAAAGCGGCUCUCUGGUCUGUAACUGACGCUGAGGCUCGAAAGCGUGGGGAGCGAACAGG